CGGCACAAUCUUAUGACUUCUUGCUCUAUUUUAUAAAUUCUUCCAUUUUUUCACGAUAUUCUGUACUAUUUUAUGAUAUCAUUACAAAUGAGCCAUGCUUAGAAUUCGAUCAAAGCAUCCAGAGCAGGGAAUUAAUCCUGACAUUGAUGAGCAACAAUCUGAAGUUGCAUGCUUAAGCCAUGGCUUGGGCAAUGAAUGACCCUGCCUUGUUUCUUUAGUACAUUGGUUGUUGUUACCCUAGGUCCUGAAGUUCUGUAAUACUUUGUGCAUUAUAUUUGGCUUUAUAGUUAGGACAGUGCUCGUGUCUGGAUAGUUAGUGAUCAAAGGCAAGAUUUUGGUGAUCUUGGUGACAUUCCUGGUCAUUAUGUUGCAUCAAAUCUCACAUUGUUUGGACAAAAUGCUAGAAUCUGGAACCGCUAUAUCUUUGAUUCCGUAAGUUUCUUAUUUUCUAUUUUCUUUUAUUGGUUCUAUGCAUAUGAUUAGUUUAUACUUUCCUUGUCAUAUUUAAUGUAUUACCGUGCUUUUGUUGAAUGGGAUGCAUUGCUCCUGCCGCAUAUGUUUUGAGGUACACGGUUGGAGAUGCUGCUUAUCGUACUUGGACAUAUUGUGUGUUUG
This 615-nucleotide long non-coding RNA is filed under the name Elaeis guineensis (African oil palm). RNAcentral describes it as "long non-coding RNA (EGUI_LNC030027)". Lineage: Eukaryota; Viridiplantae; Streptophyta; Magnoliopsida; Arecales; Arecaceae. The record is from RNAcentral.